Molecule: ribosomal RNA, 1372 nt
Filed under: uncultured bacterium
Lineage: Bacteria
Description: bacterial SSU rRNA
Rfam family: Bacterial small subunit ribosomal RNA
Source: RNAcentral
GAUGAACGCUGGCGGCGUGCCUAAUACAUGCAAGUCGAGCGAACAGAUAAGGAGCUUGCUCCUUUGACGUUAGCGGCGGACGGGUGAGUAACACGUGGGUAACCUACCUAUAAGACUGGGAUAACUUCGGGAAACCGGAGCUAAUACCGGAUAACAUUUGGAACCGCAUGGUUCUAAAGUGAAAGAUGGUUUUGCCAUCACUUAUAGAUGGACCCGCGCCGUAUUAGCUAGUUGGUAAGGUAACGGCUUACCAAGGCGACGAUACGUAGCCGACCUGAGAGGGUGAUCGGCCACACUGGAACUGAGACACGGUCCAGACUCCUACGGGAGGCAGCAGUAGGGAAUCUUCCGCAGUGGGCGAAAGCCUGACGGAGCAACGCCGCGUGAGUGAUGAAGGGUUUCGGCUCGUAAAACUCUGUUAUUAGGGAAGAACAAACGUGUAAGUAACUGUGCACGUCUUGACGGUACCUAAUCAGAAAGCCACGGCUAACUACGUGCCAGCAGCCGCGGUAAUACGUAGGUGGCAAGCGUUAUCCGGAAUUAUUGGGCGUAGAGCGCGCGUAGGCGGUUUCUUAAGUCUGAUGUGAAAGCCCACGGCUCAACCGUGGAGGGUCAUUGGAAACUGGGAAACUUGAGUGCAGAAGAGGAAAGUGGAAUUCCAUGUGUAGCGGUGAAAUGCGCAGAGAUAUGGAGGAACACCAGUGGCGAAGGCGACUUUCUGGUCUGUAACUGACGCUGAUGUGCGAAAGCGUGGGGAUCAAACAGGAUUAGAUACCCUGGUAGUCCACGCCGUAAACGAUGAGUGCUAAGUGUUAGGGGGUUUCCGCCCCUUAGUGCUGCAGCUAACGCAUUAAGCACUCCGCCUGGGGAGUACGACCGCAAGGUUGAAACUCAAAGGAAUUGACGGGGACCCGCACAAGCGGUGGAGCAUGUGGUUUAAUUCGAAGCAACGCGAAGAACCUUACCAAAUCUUGACAUCCUUUGAAAACUCUAGAGAUAGAGCCUUCCCCUUCGGGGGACAAAGUGACAGGUGGUGCAUGGUUGUCGUCAGCUCGUGUCGUGAGAUGUUGGGUUAAGUCCCGCAACGAGCGCAACCCUUAAGCUUAGUUGCCAUCAUUAAGUUGGGCACUCUAGGUUGACUGCCGGUGACAAACCGGAGGAAGGUGGGGAUGACGUCAAAUCAUCAUGCCCCUUAUGAUUUGGGCUACACACGUGCUACAAUGGACAAUACAAAGGGCAGCUAAACCGCGAGGUCAUGCAAAUCCCAUAAAGUUGUUCUCAGUUCGGAUUGUAGUCUGCAACUCGACUACAUGAAGCUGGAAUCGCUAGUAAUCGUAGAUCAGCAUGCUACGGUGAAUACGUUCCCGGGUCU